Molecule: ribosomal RNA, 843 nt
Filed under: uncultured Bacillota bacterium
Lineage: Bacteria; Bacillati; Bacillota
Description: bacterial SSU rRNA
Rfam family: Bacterial small subunit ribosomal RNA
Source: RNAcentral
CAAGUCGAACGAGAAAGCCCGCAAGGGUGAGUAAAGUGGCGUACGGGUGAGUAACACGUGGGUAAUCUACCUUCUGGUGGGGAAUAACGCUGGGAAACCGGCGCUAAUACCGCAUAAUCCCGAAAGGGGAAAGGAGAAAUUCGCCGGAAGAGGAGCCCGCGGCUGAUUAGCUAGUUGGUGAGGUAAUGGCUCACCAAGGCAAUGAUCGGUAGCCGGCCUGAGAGGGCACACGGCCACACUGGCACUGAAACACGGGCCAGACUCCUACGGGAGGCAGCAGUGGGGAAUCUUGCACAAUGGGGGAAACCCUGAUGCAGCGACGCCGCGUGAGCGAUGAAGCCCUUCGGGGUGUAAAGCUCUUUCGGCAGGAACGAUAAUGACGGUACCUGAAGAAGAAGCUGCGGCUAACUACGUGCCAGCAGCCGCGGUAAUACGUAGGCAGCAAGCGUUGUUCGGAGUUACUGGGCGUAAAGAGUGCGUAGGCGGUGCUCUAAGUUUGGUGUGAAAUCUCCCGGCUCAACUGGGAGGGUGCGCCGAAAACUGGAGUGCUUGAGUAUGGGAGAGGCAAGCGGAAUUCCUGGUGUAGCGGUGAAAUGCGUAGAUAUCAGGAGGAACACCUGUGGUGUAGACAGCUUGCUGGACCAUCACUGACGCUGAGGCACGAAAGCGUGGGUAGCAAACAGGAUUAGAUACCCUGGUAGUCCACGCCCUAAACGAUGCAUACUUGGUGUGAGCCAUUCAUUUGGUUCGUGCCGGAGCUAACGCGUUAAUUAUGCCGCCUGGGGAGUACGGUCCCAAGGCUGAAACUCAAAGGAAUUGACGGGGGCCCGCACAAGCGGUGGA